UGAAGAAUACAAAACUGAAAGUAGGGCAAACAGAUCUCUGGACAUACCAGAGCUGAGGUGAGAUAAGACAGAUGGAAACCAAUGUAAUUCAGACGAAAAGGGAAUGCAACUCAAAAUACCAAGGAAAAACAAGAAAGGCCAUUGUGAAUCAGCAGCUGAUGUCCUAUACAACCAUCCUUCCAUGACACAUGCAAUGGGAAGUUUAAUUUCAGGAAACAAAGCCUACCUGAAACUUCAAAAUGACGUUUCCAGAAAGCUAAAAAUCAACAAAAAAUGGCUAGUAUUGUAACUAACACCUUACAACCCAGAUUUCAUUCCACUGAAAAGAAAAGGGGCA
Long non-coding RNA from Ostrea edulis (European flat oyster), 337 nucleotides. RefSeq lists it as uncharacterized. The transcript is spliced from 3 exons. The record is from RefSeq and is a predicted model, not a curated record. NCBI's taxonomy places the organism in Eukaryota, Metazoa, Mollusca, Bivalvia, Ostreida, Ostreidae.